GUGGGGAAUCUUGCGCAAUGGCCGAAAGGCUGACGCAGCGACGCCGCGUGUGGGAUGACGGCCUUCGGGUUGUAAACCACUGUCGGAAGGGACGAAUGGCCCGCAAGGGCAGUGACGGUACCUUCAAAGGAAGCACCGGCUAACUCCGUGCCAGCAGCCGCGGUAAUACGGAGGGUGCGAGCGUUGUCCGGAAUCACUGGGCGUAAAGGGCGCGUAGGCGGCCCGGUAAGUAGGGGGUGAAAUCUUGCGGCUUAACCGCAAGGCUGCCUUCUAGACUGCCAGGCUCGAGCACAGUAGAGGCAGGUGGAAUUCCCGGUGUAGCGGUGGAAUGCGUAGAGAUCGGGAAGAACAUCAGUGGCGAAGGCGGCCUGCUGGACUGUAGCUGACGCUGAGGCGCGACAGCGUGGGGAGCAAACAGGAUUAGAUACCCCUGUAGUCC
RNAcentral lists this ribosomal RNA (439 nucleotides) under uncultured bacterium. RNAcentral's name for it is "bacterial SSU rRNA". It matches the Rfam family "Bacterial small subunit ribosomal RNA", at positions 354 to 796 of the family's 1533-position model. The record is from RNAcentral.